Onychostoma macrolepis is the source of this 566-nucleotide long non-coding RNA. RefSeq lists it as uncharacterized. NCBI's taxonomy places the organism in Eukaryota, Metazoa, Chordata, Actinopteri, Cypriniformes, Cyprinidae. The record is from RefSeq and is a predicted model, not a curated record. The transcript is spliced from 4 exons.
CUGAGGGGAAAAUAUAACUUUAUCUUAAUUGUUGUUUUUACAACAGCGGGCGGAUUUCUCCUUUUUGUCUGGAAAAAAACAUCUUACAGACAUUACAAGAAAACCCACAACACUAAAUAUUACCACAGGAUGACCGAGAUUUAAAAGAAAAAUGGAUGCCAACUGUUUGUUUAUACAACCUUACAAAAAUACUGCGUUGGUACCACAGUAAUGAUAUCAGAAGGGGCAUAAAAUAGAAGUUUUCAGGUGGAGAAAGCCAGAGAAAAGGAGAAGGGAUGAGAGGUCACAGUCCUUUUGUCCAGGAGAGGAAAGGAGAUGGAAUGGGUCAUAAACCUACACCCUGCUGUGGAUCUUGGAUGAGAGGAGUAAAGGAGGACACAAAGAAAAGCCUCAUUCACCACUUCACCUCUGCCCCUGCAGAUGAUAACAGAUGUCCAUACGAGCUGGCAGCGUUCGGCCCGCAGCGCGAGUUCACAAACGCCACCAGAGAGUUGGGCGAGGUGCGGAUGACCGUCUGCAGGUCCACACUGGCAUCGGACAGCGGCGAGAUGGACAGCGCACGCUUC